This 449-nucleotide ribosomal RNA is filed under the name uncultured bacterium. Its description in RNAcentral is "partial 16S ribosomal RNA". It matches the Rfam family "Bacterial small subunit ribosomal RNA", at positions 330 to 794 of the family's 1533-position model. The record is from RNAcentral.
UCCAGACUCCUACGGGAGGCAGCAGUGGGGAAUAUUGGGCAAUGGGCGCAAGCCUGGCCCAGCAACGCCGCGUGAAGGAAGAAGGCUUUCGGGUUGUAAACUUCUUUUGACAGGGAAGAGUAGAAGACGGUACCUGUCGAAUAAGCCACGGCUAACUACGUGCCAGCAGCCGCGGUAAUACGUAGGUGGCAAGCGUUGUCCGGAUUUACUGGGUGUAAAGGGCGUGUAGCCGGGUUGACAAGUCAGAUGUGAAAUCCUGCGGCUUAACCGCAGAACUGCAUUUGAAACUGUUGAUCUUGAGUACUGGAGAGGCAGACGGAAUUCCUAGUGUAGCGGUGAAAUGCGUAGAUAUUAGGAGGAACACCAGUGGCGAAGGCGGCCUGCUGGACGACAACUGACGGUGAGGCGCGAAAGCGUGGGGAGCAAACAGGAUUAGAUACCCGGGUAAC